This 88-nucleotide transfer RNA is filed under the name Gammaproteobacteria bacterium. RNAcentral's name for it is "tRNA-Ser". It matches the Rfam family "tRNA". From Rfam's summary of the family: Transfer RNA (tRNA) molecules are approximately 80 nucleotides in length. Their secondary structure includes four short double-helical elements and three loops (D, anti-codon, and T loops). The record is from RNAcentral. Lineage: Bacteria; Pseudomonadati; Pseudomonadota; Gammaproteobacteria.
GGAGGGGUGGCUGAGCGGUCGAAAGCACUGGUCUUGAAAACCAGAGAAGGGCGACCUUCCCAGGGUUCGAAUCCCUGCCCCUCCGCCA